CCUACGGGUGGCAGCAGUAGGGAAUCUUCCACAAUGGGCGAAAGUCUGAUGGAGCAACGCCGCGUGGGUGAAGAAGGUCUUCGGAUCGUAAAACUCUGUUGUUAGAGAAGAAAGUGCGUGAGAGUAACUGUUCACGUUUCGACGGUAUCUAUCCAGAAAGCCACGGCUAACUACGUGCCAGCAGCCGCGGUAAUACGUAGGGGGCAAGCGUUAUCCGGAUUUAUUGGGCGUAAAGGGAACGUAGGCGGUCUUGUAAGUCUGUUGUGAAAGUCUUCGGCUUAACCGGAGUAGUACUUCGGAAACUGGGGGACUUGAGUGCAGGAGAGGAGAGUGGAACUCCAAGUGUAGCGGUGGAAUGCGUAGAUAUAUGGAAGAACACCAGUGGCGAAAGCGGCUCUCUGGUCUGUAACUGACGCUGAGGUUCGAAAGCGUGGGUAGCAAACAGGAUUAGAUACCCGGGUAGUC
RNAcentral lists this ribosomal RNA (465 nucleotides) under uncultured bacterium. Its description in RNAcentral is "partial 16S ribosomal RNA". It matches the Rfam family "Bacterial small subunit ribosomal RNA", at positions 338 to 795 of the family's 1533-position model. The record is from RNAcentral.